Cyanistes caeruleus (blue tit) is the source of this 444-nucleotide non-coding RNA. The record is from RefSeq and is a predicted model, not a curated record. NCBI's taxonomy places the organism in Eukaryota, Metazoa, Chordata, Aves, Passeriformes, Paridae.
AGCUGAGCCCACUGAUACUCAGGAAAUCAUUCGGAGAAAUUCAAGCAAUAUCAGUACAGUACAGAUGCAGGUUCCCUAAGGUACCAAACCCAAGUGAAAACUCACAUGGUCGAGCUGAACAUGGUGCUGUCACCAGGCAGCUGCAAAAGACAAGAUCACAUUUCUGACCUCUCAGUUUCUGUUUCAUGCCAAAGAUCAGCACUGUUGAUAUUGGAAGCUGUUUGCCUGAAGAGCAACCACCAACCUCUUGAUGAUUUGUGAAGCAAGCUGGAGUUGAUUUGUGUAAGAGGAAGGAAUGAUGUUCUGUUUUAUUCUACCAGCAUCUCAAAGCCUUUCUGCUAUGACACUUAAGCCCUACAGGAGUUCUGUACCCAAGGUAGCAAAUCUUUGUGUCUAGAGGUAGGCUCAGGCUCCCUCAUCAAUUAAUUAAUGAAGGCUAAGUGU